CCAUCACAAGGGGCUCUUCUGGGUGAAUCCUCCUCCUGCCCCACCUGCCAUGGCCACCAGGCUCCUGUGCUGGGUGUCCCUUUGUGUCCUGGGAUUAGAGCCCACAGAUGCUGGUGUCACCCAGACACCCAGGCACAAGGUGACAAAGAGGGGACAAGAAGUGACUAUGAGUUGUGAGCCAGUUUCAGGCCAUGACUACCUUUACUGGUACAGACAGACCUCAGCAGAAGGCAUAAAGUUUUUGAUAUAUUUCAGUGAUACUAAACCUCUGGAUGACACAGGAAUGCCCAACAAGCGAUUCUCAGCUCGCAUGCCCAGUGCGUCACUCUCCACUCUGAAGAUCCAGCUGACAGAACCCGGGGACUCGGCCGUGUACCUCUGUGCCAGCAGCUUAGCCACAGCGCUGCACAGUCGCUCCCUCCCUGUGCAGAAACCUCCUGCUUCCCCUUCUCUCAUCAGUCCCCAGAUGUCCUGUGUAAAAGACUUCUCUGCUCUGCUAUCACCAAGAGACAUGCAUGGGUUUGGGGCAUGA
Non-coding RNA from Phyllostomus hastatus (greater spear-nosed bat), 532 nucleotides. Lineage: Eukaryota; Metazoa; Chordata; Mammalia; Chiroptera; Phyllostomidae. The record is from the annotation of a RefSeq genome assembly.